CAGCGCAUUAGGAUCAACUUGGCGUCGACCAGGAUUUCUGCCCCAUAAAUCCGGGAAAAAAUAUUGAAUACACCCAGAGUCACAAUUGGAAUUGUCCUACGCUCGAGCACACAUGACCAUCAACGAGGAGUUGGGUACAGGUUUUCAUCAGGAGAUGAUGGCUGGUCAGCUGGACAAGAGAGUGUUGCUUGCUUGGAAGGCGUCAGCAUAUUGGUCAUUCAAUCGCUGUUUAAAAAUGCCCCGUUUUCAGCGCAAGAACAACCUGGUGUGUCGACCAAAACUUCUACUUCUACCCCAUCGAUACGUCCUGAUUCACAGUUGAAGUGGAGUAGCUCUACGCUCGAGAGCCCAUGCAUCACCAUCCACGCGGACUGGUCAACCGAACGUGGAUAGGAGCAGGUUUUCAUCAGGAGGUGACGGGAGGUCAGGUGGACAGGAGAAUGUUCCUUGGAAGGCAACCCUGUAUGGCUGUCUUUUGGAGAUAUGAGAUCUGGGCCCCGUCUUACAAAGAGUUGCCAUUGAUCCGAUCAAUCGCAAAUAUGGACGGCCAUCAACGUCAACAUAUAAAAUGCUUGUUUGUUCAAAAAAAUUUCUAGAUAUGAAUGUAUAUCCAUAAAUUCAUUGAUUUCUUGACAAUUUGGUAUGUUCUCUUUUGUUUACAAAGGACAUUUUACAAAUUUCCUGUCGAAGAAAUUAUGACACUGAUGGAUUUCCAUAGAGUUAUGAUUGAUUGGAUCAAUCGUAAGUCUUUGUAAGACGGGGCCCAGAUCUGACGUCGAUUUCCCACUUGAGAUAACCCCCCCCCCCCCAAAAAAAAAAAAAAAAAAUAGGAUGUGGACGGUGGAUUUCGGUCAACGAAUGUCCCAAUCCGACACGUCGACACACCAUGGUUUGAAAGUUCACCCGAUGCAGUCAUCUCAUCAUAUUUUGGUGAGGGGGGGGGGUGAGGAGUAUUAUAAUUAUGAUCAAGAAUCCCGUUGGCCCAAUAGGGGUGCCACUGUCACUACAAGGUUGGAAACCAUGCUUGUCCACAAAAGCAGUAAAAAGUUUGUUUUUCACGACCGGGCGAUGUACCCACGGAGAGUAAAAAUGGUAUCAAAAUGGCCAAAAUCAUACAAAAAUUAUUUACUUUUCAACCGUUAAGUGCGCAUGGAAAGGGUAUUAGCUUAUCAUGAAAAUUAUAUAUUUGAGCCAUUAUUUAGGGUAGGGAAAAAAUGUGUAGGGUAUCAUAAGAUGGUAGGAUGAUAACUUAUUAAGGGGAGGCUCACCCUGACAAAAGUUUAUUGAAAAAAGUCGCAGAAAAAUGAAUUUAAAAAGGUCUGAGGAAAAUAAAAAAAUUAUUUGAUUUUUUUUAUUUGUGACGUCAUAUACAAGCAGCUUUCCCACAUUUAUCAUGUGGUAAAAAAAAAUCAAUUGUAAUUUUCUCAGAAAAUUGGAUAUGGGUUUUAAUGUUCCUUCAGUAUAUCAAUAGACAUCACUUAACACCCACUCCUGAAAGAAACAAAAAUUAAGUCAUCAAGAACCAUUACAAGUUUGAAAUUCAUGCAUUUAUGCAUUUACCAAAUGGGGCAGCUGCUAGUAUAUGACGUUAAAAAAAAAAAAUUCUAAUAAAUUUCUUAAUCUUUGAUGGAUUUUCCAGAAACCUUCACAAUAUUUUUUUUAGUUAUUUUUUUCUGCCUUUUGUACAACAAACCUCUCGUCUGAGGGUGAACUUCCACUUUAACAAUCAAAAGGUAAAUUUUACGUUUUUGUACACGGUUCUUGUUUUUUUUAAAUGGGGAGGGGGCUGAAGCCCACCCAGCCCCCCCCCCCCUGUUUCCACUGCCCCUGCCUUGUAAUGACAGCGGGCACAGGACCAGUUUGUCUCCUCCUGGCCGACGGAUCCCAAGAAAAUUAAGUAUGAUUCCUUGAUCAAUAUAAUAAUCAAUCAUAUGGCUUAUCUUCCAAAUUUGUGAGGCCCACUCUUCUCCAUGAUCUUUUUUUUUCGGUAUUCAGACAAAAUAAUGUUACGAAUGAGGUAACAUGUCCUUUGUCAUGUACAUAUCCAAUGCUGGUUCUGUUUUUGCCAAAAUUUAUAAAUGUGUUAUUAAUUUAACUUGUACUAUGUCAAAUCAAUUGAUUUUAUGUUUAUGAUUCAAAUAGCGUCACAGAAAAUGCCAUCGAAGAAACAAUGAAGAGCAAAACGACGGAAAUUACUUUUGAUAUAUUUUUUUUUACAAAUUAGAUUUACUUAGAAAACUACAAAGAACAUCUUGACCCCAAAUUAUGAAAAUUCAACUCUUUUUUCUUUGUUUAGAGCAGAAUUCUAAUUUCAUGCAUAAACGAGCAUAAUCAAUGGAAUCAUAAUUAGCAGCGCAAUUUUAUAGCUUAUGCCAAUGACAAUAUGCGUGCCAAUUUUUGACACGAUUGCGCCAAAAUACAGUGCGUCCCACUAAAAAGGAAACCCGUUUUUAGAGGUAGAUUUCACAAUUAUUAAAUAUGUUUUUACUAUAAGUGUGAUACUCAUGGCAAGAGUGGAAUUUCCUCUCUAAUUUGAAACCAAAAGCUUAGCAAAUCGUUCACACAUGGCAGAUUACAAACAAUAAAUACUGAGGCAUAUCAGAAACGAUUUGCGCUGAAUCCUAAAAAAAUAAAAGAAUACAGAAGAAAUGCUAAUGAGCCAAUCGUCGAAGAAGCACGUUUGUCGGAUCACGAACCAAUCUUGUCCAAUUUUUCUGCGCAAUCUGGUUUUGACAUUAAAAUUUCAAACUCGUUUUGCUCAUUAAUGCGUGAAGUUUUCGUCACAUAUUAGGUAUCAAAAUAAAGAGAAAUAGUUGAAUUAUAUGAUUAUGUAAAUUAAAUAUGAUUAAUUUGCGUUUGAAGAAAAAAAUGACAUGGGAAUCCCGGUUUCUUUUUUUCUGGGACGCACUGUAUAGUCCGGCUUGUGGUUACGGGUUGUUUACAAUCAGGGUAUACUGUAAAAAAACAAAUUUAAAAAAAGAAAAAGGAUUUCUGUACAUCAUAAAAUGAAAUAUGUGUACUGUUAUCUCAAAUCUUCAAUAGCAAGUUACUUGGGCACUUUUAAAGCAACCUGGAAUAGGAAAGAAAAUACUAAAUAUUAUGAUUGCUUCUAAAAUUGACCAAAUCUGAUAUUUUAGGGCAGACAUUACUGUCGCAUUCCUUUUUUUUUUUUCAAUUUUGAGCCAGAGUAUCUAUUAUAAGGAAUUGUUUUACCAAUUAAAUUGAUUAUUUAAAUGCAUUUGUUAAAAAAAAACUCCCAGAAGCUAUUGAUUUGAUUUUUGUGACUGUAAGCCCAAAAUGUGGUGCCAAUUCUUUCCAAAAAUGUCCUCUCAGAAUUUCGAAUUUUUACGCAUAGUUUGCCAUUACUUGAUGAACAACGUUUUUGUUUAUAAGAUCACUUGUAUUAUGCAACAAACUUAUAAUGCUUACUUUGCCCAAUAUCCAAUUAUUUUUCACACAGUUCACAUUCCAAUGUUGUCAAAUCUAUUUUUGUCCAAAAGUUUCUUCUCCGAAAAAAAAUAAAGCGAUUGACCGCACAUGUAAUAAAAAAAAUAAUAAAGUGGUCCACCAUAAUAUACCUAGAAAUUUUAGAAAAUUUUUAUUUCACUUGUUUAUAAUACAAAAAUAGGAAAAACGAGACAACUUUUUUGUUAGGUCAAAUGAGACAGUUGAAUAUUCCUGAUUGUAACUACCCUUAUGGUUAAUUUGGAUACCCAAGGCGGACGAAGCAAAGAAUUGUCAUACAUUUGAAUGUUAUUUAGUUCAUACAUGUUGUACCUGACGAUGACUGUGUAUGUGAUUUCACUCUUUUUCGAUUCUGUGUAUUACUUUUGCUUGAACUUGCAAUCACCUAGGCAAAAUUCAUUCAUUCAUUUAUAUGAAUGAGUGGUAAGAAUUCAUUCACUCACUUAUUCAAUGAUUCAUAUGAAUGCAUUCAUUCAUCCAUUCAUAUAUAUUUAUGAAUGAAUGGAUUUUGCCUGAUUAUUAAAUAAGCGUGUUACAUCU
Molecule: long non-coding RNA, 4005 nt
Organism: Lytechinus pictus (painted urchin)
Lineage: Eukaryota; Metazoa; Echinodermata; Echinoidea; Temnopleuroida; Toxopneustidae
Exons: 2
Source: RefSeq, a predicted model, not a curated record